UAAAAAAUAUUUAAUAGAAAUUUUUUAGAAGUCUAUACCAAUGUGUUUAUCUUAAUGGAAAGGGUGAAUCAACGAUUAAUAAGACUUUAGGUUUCAUGGCCUUUUCUGACAGCAAAAAGUAUUUAUCUAAAUUUCAUCAAGCAGACUUGAAUAUAGAGGCUGGGAUUCUGGACCUAACAAUAGUUGAAAAAAAUAUUUCUCUUCCUGACAGUGAAAAUCGAUAUUGUAAAAAAAAGUUACAAAAUUAAAAAAAAAAAAUCUGGAAAUUGGUUGACCGCGCAAGCCAACCCUAGAACUUCCCGCUAAGUUUCAAUUUAAAGCGCCUGAAAAUGAGUUUUUUGGUUAAUAUUUGAGCUUUUCAAGCUCAAAGCACCAUUUUUCACAUUUUGAGCUCGAUGAGCGUGUUUCAUCCCAAGUCGAGCAGGAGAAAUUUUUAUUCUUGACAUUUUUCAGUAAGCUACCGAUGGGUAUACCCAUUAUUAUAAUAAGGCCUAGCUAAGGGAGAUUUUGAAAAAAAUCGAAAAUAUUGCGUUUAGUUAUUGAAAUGUAUCAUUAAUUUUUAUAUUAAUACAUUAGCCAUAAAAUAUAAUGGAGUAAUAAUAUUUUUCACCAUAAACAAACACAAAAUUAAAUUUUUUCAAAAACCUUGCAUGUACCUUAUACCUAUAGUAUAACUAUUUCCUUACUGGAAAUAGUUAUACUAUACUUAAUAAAAUUGGUAUUAGGGAUCAAUAACCACUAAAAUUUAGCAACAAUACUUUUUAAGAUGUUAAUAAAAAUUGAAACAAUGAUUUUAAAUUAUUAAAUAUAAAAUUAUAAAAAAUGUUUACCAUUUACUCAAACCGUUUUUUAGGAAUUCUUCGGCGCUAUUUUAGCAUAUGACGGAUGAUGAAAUAUAGAAGACAGGGAACGUUGUAUCGGGACUCUAUAAACUUGUAGCGACAUUUCUAUGCUAGACGCUUCUAC
Cotesia glomerata is the source of this 966-nucleotide long non-coding RNA. RefSeq lists it as uncharacterized. The transcript has 2 exons. The record is from RefSeq and is a predicted model, not a curated record. Lineage: Eukaryota; Metazoa; Arthropoda; Insecta; Hymenoptera; Braconidae.